Molecule: long non-coding RNA, 3428 nt
Organism: Cyprinus carpio carpio
Lineage: Eukaryota; Metazoa; Chordata; Actinopteri; Cypriniformes; Cyprinidae
Source: Ensembl
UGGGCAUGAUAUUUCACAGCAGCGGUGGAGGAAAGAAAGCCAUAAUGUUUUGGAAACACGUGAGGGCUCAUUGUGGUCUCUGUCUAUCUGGGAUUCGGGAUGAGUGCCAGCAAACGCUGGAUAAACAGAGAUGUCUAUGAAAAUCCCUCAAGCAUUGUGGAUGAGAGAUGCUGCUGCUGUAAUGUGAAGGUGACUGACUGUACGCUUGAUUCAUCGCUGAUGGAGAGAUACUGUUAUUCCAAGGCUGGAUAAUAAAACACAGAAUGCACAACCUGGAGAUCGUUCAACUCUUUUCUACACACACCGACAAACACAACACUGGGUUCAAAGUGUAGUCAGACUCUCUCUCACAAUUAUUCAGAUCAUCUGAAGACUCUGACAUUCACUUAUUAUUUACCACAUCAACAGCACUUCACACCGAUGAGAUGAUACACUAUAGAUGAAUCACUUUCAUCGUCACAUUCACCACAAGCUGAAGAAGAUCUCACGGCUUCCGUCUUAUAUAAGGUGCUCUGGACAUAAACACAGGAUGUAUGUGCAUAUAAACCCCACGAAGCACUGGAUCUGGUGGAGGAUAAUGGUGUGUGUUGGCACAGCUGUGUGUAACAGCCCCACCAGCGCUCCGCUCUUUUAUCUCCUUCUGUAAUGUGCACAGGUGCUGCUUAAUUCAAUUGGAAAACGUUGCCAUGGUUUUACAUUAAUAUGUUUCUAUGUUGCCGGCGCAUUGGUUGUCAUGGAGAUGAUGGGACUUAUUUAAGCUGAAACCUCAGCUUUGGUUGGAAGGAAAGGGGGGGGGAAAACACGAGAGAAAAGAAGAGAGAGAAGUCUGUGUGUGUUUUCAUCUCAUUAGAUUUAGAUUUGUUUUUUAACCCACAGUCAAAAGAAAAAAUUGCUACAAAACGGAUCUGUGCCACACAAGUCUUAUUGUGUUUCAUUAGAGAAAGUGAAACAAGCUUUCAGUUUAAUUAAAUGACUUGCAGAGAGCAGCACAUCCUUUCAUAACCCGUGAUUGCUCUCCUGAGCUCUCUGCAAAACCACACCACGAGCUCUUUCUACAACAUGUUGUGAGCAUUUAUUGUAUUCUGUUGAGGGUUUCGGGCAGGUUUCUAUUUACACGGUACAUCCGAGCACGCACUUUAAUUGUCUCACAAUGAAAUAAGCAAUAGCCGGUUAGAAGAACUCCAUAACCUCAGGUGGAUGCGAGCGAGGGUCUGUUAAAGGCAACAUGAAACGGCAUCGACAACACAACAGUGAAUCGAUUUUAUGUUGACUUCAAAGCAAUAGUUCACCCCAAAACUGAAGCUGGCUGAAAAUGUCCUCACACUCAGGUCAUCCAAGAUGUAGAUGAGCUUGUUUCUUCAUCAGAUUUGGAGAAAUGUAGCAUUGCAUCACUUGCUCGCAAAUGGAUGUGAAUGGGUGCCGUCAGAAUGGGAGUCCAAACAAUCCACAAGUAAUCCACACCACUCCAGUCCAUCAGUUAACAUCUGGAGAAGACAAAAGCUGAAACAAAUCCAUCAUUAAGGUGUUUUUAAAUAAAAUAUGAGUCUAUAAUCCAUAAUAACACUUCCUCCAGUGAAAAAGUUCAUCUCCUGUUGUCACUCACAUCAAGCCACAUAUUUGUUUAGAGCUGUUUUAGCUUGUGAACGGUACUUGAUCUGUGCAGAUUUCUCUCCUGAUUCAGACCAGACCACUUUUUCACUGGAGGAAGCGUUAUUAUGGAUUAUUGACUCAGUUUUAAGAUAAAAAUGUCUUCAUAGUGGAUUUAUUUAUUACAAACACCCAGCUUGUCUUCUCCAGAUGUGAACUGAUGGACUGGAGUGGUGUGGAUUGCUUCUGGUGUUUUUAUCAGCUGUUGGUACUCUCAUUCAGACGGCACCCAUUCACUGCAGAGCAUCCAUUGCUGAACAAGUGAUGCAAUGCAGCAUUUCUCCAAAUCUGAUGAAGAAACAAACUCAUCUACAUCUUAGAUGGGCUGAGGGUGAACACAUUUUCCGCGAAAGUGAGAUUACUGACGAAAACAUGCUUUACACUGUUUGACGAUUUGUGUAGAUUUACUUGAAUAAAUGUCCAUCUGAGUUCAUUAAAAACAAACAGAUGGUGAGUUAAAUUUUCUUUACUAGUUUAGCUGAGGAUGGGUUAAUAAUGGAGGUCUACAUACAAGGCUGUUUUCUCAUUUGUAAAUGCAAUAGUUCAACAAGAAAAAAUGAGAAUUAAUUUCCUCACCCUAAAAAGACGUUGCACUAAAUUUGGUGCCAAUGAUAUGAAAGGCCAGAGAGAACCGAUCAUGAAGGCCACUGGUCACAAUAUGCUUGCAAUGAAUGCAAAAGAGCAUCGUAAACAACACUGUUCUCUAUUUCUCUGCUCCACUGAAGAAAGUCAGUCUUAAGCACAUGUCAUCUCAUUGGGUUUCAGCUGCUUCUGACAGAUACAAAAUGAACUUGAUUUUCAUACUCCCAAAUAUGAUGAAAUUGGAAAAGAGUUCAAUACUAAAGAUAAAGUGGGAUUAUUGCAUUGCACUCUAAAGCCUAUGAAAUAAGAAUCAAAUGAAGUUAUCAUUUUUCAGCUAUUUAUGAGUAGUAUUAGAGUGCAAUGUAAUCCUUCUGCUAGAGUGUCUCUGCAUAAUUAUUAUACAAAGGCAGAAAAUCAGCUCAGACAUCUAUCUGAAGUGGGAAGACAAUCCCAUUGGUGAUGCUAGACAGACAGACAGACAGACAGAUACACAGGCUGACAGAUACACACAGACAGAAAGACAGAUACAGACAGAUAGACACAUACAUACAGACACAGACAGAUAAACAGACAGACAGACAGAAAGACAGAUGCAGACAGAUAUAGACAUAAAGAUAGAUACAGACAGACCACAGACAUACAGUGACACAGACAUAGAGAGACAAACAUAGACAGACAGAUUCAGACAGAAAGAUACAUAGAGACAGACAGAUACAGACAGACAGAUACACAGACAGACACACACACACACACACACACACACACACACACACAGACAAAAAGACAGUUACAGAAAGACCACAGACAGACAGACAUAGAAAAACAAACAAAGACAGUCAGACAGAUACAGAUAUAGACAGAAAGAUACAUACAGAGACAGACAGACAGACGGCCUUGAGGAUCUAAUUUUAGUGAUGAUGGCUUUGUUGUGAACAUCUGCAGUUGGUAAAUGUGCUUUAUACUCGUCCAUGUGCAAGAUCUGAUUACUAAUAAAAGAUGAGCCUUAACUGAGUGUGUAUUUAACUGGUUCACUAACAACAGUUCAGCCACAAAAUGCACCAUGAAUCUGUUUAAUUGACUGUUUUAUUGAUCAAUAUAAUUUAAAGUUGUAAAUCAAAAACACCCAGUUGUGUUCUUGUUAGCUGAAUUUAUUCCAUUAAUAUAACAGAAUAAUAAUGGUAUAUAUAUAUAUAUAUAUA